Molecule: ribosomal RNA, 426 nt
Filed under: Physarum flavicomum
Lineage: Eukaryota; Evosea; Eumycetozoa; Physariida; Physaraceae
Description: SSU rRNA
Rfam family: Eukaryotic small subunit ribosomal RNA
Source: RNAcentral
ACGCGUAUGAAGGUCAAGCUGAAAGACUUUACCCAAUGACGUAAGUGGUGGUGCAUGGCCGUUCGUGGUUCGUGGAUUGAUUCGUCUGGUUAAUUCCGAUAACGAGCGAGACCCUAUCGUUCUAAAUAUGGAGUUGCAGCCCGAUUAGCCGAAAGGUUGAUUAGCCGUAGCUUUGUAUCAGCUUCUUAGACGUAUCAGGGCCGAUAAGGUCCUUGAAAUGGGUUAAUAACAGGUCAGUAUGCCCUUAGAUGUUCUGGGCCGCACGCGCGUUACAAUGGCACGUAAAGCGAGUGCUCCUGGUGGGCCCCGCGUUGGUUGAAAGGUCAGCGGAAUCCAUAGAGCCUGCCUUGACUGGGCUAGGUCAUUGUAACUAUUGGUCUUAAACGAGGAAUUUUUAGUGAUCGCCAGGUCAUUAAUCUGCGCUGA